RNAcentral lists this ribosomal RNA (672 nucleotides) under uncultured bacterium. RNAcentral describes it as "bacterial SSU rRNA". It matches the Rfam family "Bacterial small subunit ribosomal RNA", at positions 231 to 898 of the family's 1533-position model. The record is from RNAcentral.
UCGCGGCCUACAGCUUGUUGGUAAGGUAACGGCUUACCAAGGCUAAGACGGGUAGCUGGUCUGAGAGGAUGAUCAGCCACACUGGGACUGAGACACGGCCCAGACUCCUACGGGAGGCAGCAGUGGGGAAUAUUGGACAAUGGGCGCAAGCCUGAUCCAGCCACGCCGCGUGAGUGAUGAAGGUUUUCGGAUCGUAAAACUCUGUCCUGAGGGAAGAACAUCCUAGGUUCAAAUAGGUCCUAGGCUUGACGGUACCUCUGGAGGAAGCACCGGCUAACUCCGUGCCAGCAGCCGCGGUAAAACGGAGGGUGCAAACGUUGCUCGGAAUUACUGGGCGUAAAGCGCAUGCAGGCGGACUGUUAAGUUUCGUGUGAAAGCCCUGGGCUCAACCCAGGAAGUGCACGGAAAACUGGCAGACUAGAGUACUAGAGAAGUGGGCGGAAUUCCGGGUGUAGAGGUGAAAUUCGUAGAUAUCCGGAGGAACACCAGUAGCGAAAGCGGCUCACUAGAUAGAUACUGACGCUCAGAUGCGAAAGCGUGGGUAGCAAACAGGAUUAGAUACCCUGGUAGUCCACGCCGUAAACGAUGGGCACUAGGUGUCGGGGGUUUGACCCCUUCGGCGCCGUAGCUAACGCGUUAAGUGCCCCGCCUGGGGAGUACGGAAUCGUCGAC